Molecule: long non-coding RNA, 391 nt
Organism: Nerophis ophidion (straightnose pipefish)
Lineage: Eukaryota; Metazoa; Chordata; Actinopteri; Syngnathiformes; Syngnathidae
Exons: 3
Source: RefSeq, a predicted model, not a curated record
CAGAAACCAACUGUUGAGGUUCUAUCUCAACAUUCUCUGGAUUCAGAUGACAGCCAUAAACCGACUUCAUCCCUCCAACAGAUUGACAGCAGGACAAACCGCUGGAAGUGGGUAUGUCUCAAGCUUCUUCAACGUGGUCCACUCCAAAGCGAGCUGCAAAGGUGAAGAAGUGGAAGCAGUUGAAUGACACAUGUUGCAUUUUAUAACUGGCAACAAAGUACCAGGUAAAAAAGAUUGUGAAGCCUCCCUCCACAAAGAACUAGUAGCUCUACAGGACAGAGAUUCGCUUGCCAUCAAGUACUACAUCCAUAACAGAAUCAUAUUAAAAAAAGGAGAAUUUUUUUUUUCCACAUCUGCUGUGGUAGUUUGAGUAUGUUACCAGCAAUUAAAA